RNAcentral lists this ribosomal RNA (254 nucleotides) under uncultured bacterium. RNAcentral describes it as "partial 16S ribosomal RNA". It matches the Rfam family "Bacterial small subunit ribosomal RNA", at positions 524 to 776 of the family's 1533-position model. The record is from RNAcentral.
CACGUAGGGUGCGAGCGUUGUCCGGAAUUAUUGGGCGUAAAGAGCUCGUAGGCGGUGUGUCGCGUCGGCCGUGAAAACCUGCAGCUCAACUGUGGGCUUGCGGUCGAUACGGGCAUCACUGGAGUUCGGCAGGGGAGACUGGGAUUCCUGGUGUAGCGGUGAAAUGCGCAGAUAUCCGGAGGAACACCGGUGGCGAAGGCGGAUCUCUGGGCCGAUACUGACGCUGAGGAGCGAAAGCGUGGGGAGCGAACAGG